UUCUUUCCCGCUCGAGUCUUAAGAGUUUUCUGCUUUCACUAUUGCUGGAUCCUCUUUCCCCUCUAGUUGUUACUUUUUAGGCCUUACUGGGCUUUGAUAUGGUUCAUGCCUCGUGGUAUUCUGUGAACAGUGUGAUCUCAUCAUGUUGCGCAGGAGAUGGUGCUUGGCAGCAACAUUUUUUGCAGUGGUUCUAGCCAUUGUUGUUGCUUGUAGUUUCGGAUUAUCAGCUCUUGGAAUAUGGUUUAUUUGGAGACACUGACAACAUACAUUAAACGCAUACAAACAAGCUGAUGCAGUGGUUUCGGAGCAAAGAACUAUAGUCAUUGUAGGCUUCUCGAUGGUCAAUGCAUUGUUUUUUUUAAUGCUGG
This 368-nucleotide long non-coding RNA is filed under the name Populus trichocarpa (black cottonwood). RNAcentral's name for it is "long non-coding RNA (PTRI_LNC001962)". The record is from RNAcentral. Lineage: Eukaryota; Viridiplantae; Streptophyta; Magnoliopsida; Malpighiales; Salicaceae.